CCGGGGAACAUCGAGUCUUUGAACGCACGUUGCGCCCGAUGCCAUUAGGUUGAGGGCACGUCUGCCUGGGUGUCACAUAUCGAAGCCUCCUGCCAAUUUCCCUUUGAUUAUUGUGCAGGGUGGAUGUUGGCCUCCCGUGAGCUCUUUCGUCUCAUGGUUGGUUGAAAAUUGAGACCUUGGUAGGGUGUGCCAUGAUAGAUGGUGGUUGUGUGAUCCACGAGACCAAUCAUGUGCUGCUCUAUUAAAUAUGGCCUCUUUUACCCAUAUGCGUUUCUAAACGCUCGUGAUGAGACCUCAGGUCAGGCGGGGCUACCCGCUGAAUUUAAGCAUAUCAAUAAGCGGAGGAAAAGAAACUAACAAGGAUUCCCUUAGUAACGGCGAGCGAACCGGGAUAAGCCCACCAUGAGAAUCGGUCGCCCUCGGCGUUCGAAUUGUAGUUGAAAAAAAACCUUCAAAAAA
Molecule: ribosomal RNA, 459 nt
Filed under: Vicia sativa subsp. sativa
Lineage: Eukaryota; Viridiplantae; Streptophyta; Magnoliopsida; Fabales; Fabaceae
Description: eukaryotic LSU rRNA
Rfam family: Eukaryotic large subunit ribosomal RNA (bases 290-459)
Source: RNAcentral